This 433-nucleotide ribosomal RNA is filed under the name uncultured bacterium. RNAcentral describes it as "partial 16S ribosomal RNA". It matches the Rfam family "Bacterial small subunit ribosomal RNA", at positions 29 to 507 of the family's 1533-position model. The record is from RNAcentral.
AGCGAACGCUGGCGGCAGGCCUAACACAUGCAAGUCGAACGGAUCCUUCGGGAUUAUUGGCGGACGGGUGAGUAACACGUGGGAACGUGCCCUUUUGUUCGGAACAACUCAGGGAAACUUGAGCUAAUACCGGAUGUGCCCUUCGGGGGAAAGAUUUAUCGCCAUUGGAGCGGCCCGCGUCUGAUUAGCUAGUUGGUGAGGUAACGGCCCACCAAGGCGACGAUCAGUAGCUGGUCUGAGAGGAUGAUCAGCCACACUGGGACUGAGACACGGCCCAGAAUCCUACGGGAGGCAGCAGUGGGGAAUCUUGCGAAAUGGGCGAAAGCCUGAAGCAGCCAUGCCGCGUGAAUGAUGAAGGUCUUAGGAUUGUAAAAUUCUUUCAGCGGGGACGAUAAUGACGGUACCCGAAGAAGAAGCUCCGGCUAACUUCGUG